CGGGGUGUAGCGCAGUUGGUAGCGCACUUGGUUUGGGACCAAGAUGCCGCAGGUUCGAAUCCUGUCACUCCGA
RNAcentral lists this transfer RNA (73 nucleotides) under Clostridia bacterium. RNAcentral describes it as "tRNA-Pro". It matches the Rfam family "tRNA". Rfam says of the family: Transfer RNA (tRNA) molecules are approximately 80 nucleotides in length. Their secondary structure includes four short double-helical elements and three loops (D, anti-codon, and T loops). Further hydrogen bonds mediate the characteristic L-shaped molecular structure. tRNAs have two regions of fundamental functional importance: the anti-codon, which is responsible for specific mRNA codon recognition, and the 3' end, to which the tRNAs corresponding amino acid is attached (by aminoacyl-tRNA synthetases). tRNAs cope with the degeneracy of the genetic code in two manners: having more than one tRNA (with a specific anti-codon) for a particular amino acid; and 'wobble' base-pairing, i.e. permitting non-standard base-pairing at the 3rd anti-codon position. The record is from RNAcentral. Lineage: Bacteria; Bacillati; Bacillota; Clostridia.